AGAGCGAACGCUGGCGGCAGGCCUAACACAUGCAAGUCGAGCGCCCGUAGCAAUACGGGAGCGGCAGACGGGAUAGUAACACGUGGGAACGCGCCCUUCGGUUCGGAAUAACUCAGGGAAACUUGAGCUAAUACCGGAUACGCCCUUACGGGGAAAGAUUUAUUGCCGAAGGAACGGCCCGCGUCCGAUUAGCUAGUUGGUGAGGUAAUGGCUCACCAAGGCGACGAUCGGUAGCUGGUCUGAGAGGAUGACCAGCAUCACUGGGACUGAGACACGGCCCAGACUCCUACGGGAGGCAGCAGUGGGGAAUAUUGGACAAUGGGCGCAAGCCUGAUCCAGCCAUGCCGCGUGGAUGAUGAAGGCCUUAGGAUUGUAAAGUCCUUUUAACGGGGAAGAUAAUGACGGUACCGUAGAAUAAGCCCGGCUAACUUCGUGCCAGCAGCCGC
This 446-nucleotide ribosomal RNA is filed under the name uncultured bacterium. RNAcentral describes it as "SSU rRNA". It matches the Rfam family "Bacterial small subunit ribosomal RNA", at positions 26 to 518 of the family's 1533-position model. The record is from RNAcentral.